RNAcentral lists this long non-coding RNA (1726 nucleotides) under Chinchilla lanigera (long-tailed chinchilla). RNAcentral describes it as "lncRNA (ENSCLAG00000022827.1)". Lineage: Eukaryota; Metazoa; Chordata; Mammalia; Rodentia; Chinchillidae. The record is from RNAcentral.
CUGUCGUUUUUCCAUCCCUUUCUCCUCCCCCACCCCUCCCUCCCUCCCUAUUUCUGUUCCCUUCCGUUUUGCAAAAGAUCUGUCUCCCUGUUUCUAUUAUCUACCUUUAUCCCGCUCUUUAUUUGAUUCCACCGUGAUAAGAGCACAUGCUCUGUAUAACCUUAAUCCUCUUAGAUGUACUGAGACUCCUGUACCCGGAUGCUCGCAUGGCCCAGAGGCUGCGAGUCCCGCUAUCUGCCGACCUGCUCUGCUCUUCCUCUGGCCAUGGUGGAAGGCCAGCGCCUUGUCCACGUUCCCCACCUCUUCACUGACUUCCUAUCUACUUACCCCAGCAGGCCUGGUCAUGGUCACGACCCCAGCGUGGGAAAGUGUGUCAUGUCGGGGACUGGGUGUUUCUCUGUGCCUAGAACCAUCACGGAGCUUCGUUCUGGAGAGCAGUGAGGGCUUGGAGGCAGGUUCCCUUCCGAGUCUCGAUGAAGGCAGUCCUGCUUUGACUAACUGCCCAUGAGCAGAACCUGUGCCCCGUGCCUGGGAGGUGUGUGGCCGGGCAGCGGGGAACACACUGAGAGAAGCCACCACCCUCCACAGCUGCCCGCCUGUCCCUAGGAUUAAACACUGGGCACACGGGGCUCGGAGCUAAGGGCAGUGCGUGUGACCCCAGCAUCAAGUCCUGAGCUGAUAUGCCAGGGGAAAGAUCGUCGGGCCUGGCUUGGGAAUUGUUCUCUUUCACUUUGCAAGCAUUCCUGGAGAAAAGCGAAGGCUGAGAUGCACCGGCAGUGGCUGCUGGCUCGGUCUGGGGCUCAGAUCAGCGCUACCCACUCCCAUGCCCACCCUCGCCCUGCCUGGCCCCCGCCCAAUGCCUGGGGGGGCACCUCUCUUCCAGGGAAGCUCUCCCCAUCUUCCUCUUCACUAAGGGCUGGCUUUACAACUUUUAUUAUAAUGUGCUUUAUGCACAACUGUGAAACUUUACUGCAACAUAUGCCCAUUUUAUAUAUUCAUGCAGAAAGCAUAUUUUAAAAAUCCACAGUCAGAGGCUCAUAAUGCAAUAUUAAACCCACACCAUAUUUCCUCCGUACAUUCAUAAAAAAGCACUCAGUUCUUUGGAAAAUGUUAUUAAGAACUUUGACUCCAGGGUGCAGGAUGCUUCCAGCCUGUGCAGAUGGCGCUGAGCAGAACCCAGGGGAUCCAGCGUGGGCGCGGGCGAGUGGCAAGCAGCCCUGCCCCAAGGAAGGAGCUGGGGCACUGAGAUACGACCGCAGCGUCCAGGGCGACGUUUGUCCACCGGCAGCCAGCUGAAGGGCAGGGCUGAUGGAGGGAGCUGUGCGCUCCUGUGUGGGAAAUGAGCUGUCACAUCAGAAAUUACAUGCGGUUAUUUAUAAUCGACAGGAGAUUUGCAGCCAGACUGCAAGAAAUUGAAACAAUACCUCGAGUAAUUCCAGCCCUUUUCGGAUUAGCAUCUGGUCUCAGGAAAUCCCUGUAAACCAGGUGACUCUGACUAUUACAGACUGUGAAUUCGGUGUCCCAGGUCUAAGCCCCGCAGAUUUGUUUUGAGAUUGAACUUGGCAUGCGGCAUUUCGCCUGUGACUGAGUGACCCUCACAAUCAGGAACCUGGCCCCGCCCACCAGCACCGUGGCUGUUAAGGGCACCUUUGACUUUUAAAUUUUCUUUCCAUUAUCACAGUCUUUGUAUGUGAAAUUAUUAAAAAUAUAUUAAUUAAUACACAGA